AUUGAACGCUGGCGGCAGGCCUAACACAUGCAAGUCGAACGAGUGGCGGACGGGUGAGUAAUGUCUGGGAAACUGCCUGAUGGAGGGGGAUAACUACUGGAAACGGUAGCUAAUACCGCAUACCAUCAGAUGUGCCCAGAUGGGCUUGGCUUGUUGGUGGGGUAACGGCUCACCAAGGCGACGAUCCCUAGCUGGUCUGAGAGGAUGACCAGCCACAUUGGAACUGAGACACGGUCCAGACUCCUACGGGAGGCAGCAGUGGGGAAUAGUGCACAAUGGGCGCAAGCCUGAUGCAUCCAUGCCGCGUGUAUGAAGAAGGCCUGCGGGUUGUAAAGUACUUCCAGCGGGGAGGCGGUACCCGUAGAAGAAGGAUCGUCUAACUCCGUGACAGCAGCCGCGGUAAUAC
This 406-nucleotide ribosomal RNA is filed under the name uncultured bacterium. RNAcentral's name for it is "partial 16S ribosomal RNA". It matches the Rfam family "Bacterial small subunit ribosomal RNA", at positions 30 to 526 of the family's 1533-position model. The record is from RNAcentral.